CUACGGUGAAUACGUUCCCGGGGCCUUGUACACACCGCCCGUCAAACAAUGGAAGCUGAGGGUACCUAAAGUCGAUAACCGCAAGGAGUCGCCUAGGGUAAAAUCGGUAACUGGUGUU
Molecule: ribosomal RNA, 118 nt
Filed under: uncultured bacterium
Lineage: Bacteria
Description: partial 16S ribosomal RNA
Rfam family: Bacterial small subunit ribosomal RNA
Source: RNAcentral